RNAcentral lists this ribosomal RNA (465 nucleotides) under uncultured bacterium. RNAcentral's name for it is "partial 16S ribosomal RNA". It matches the Rfam family "Bacterial small subunit ribosomal RNA", at positions 28 to 507 of the family's 1533-position model. The record is from RNAcentral.
GACGAACGCUGGCGGCGUGCUUAACACAUGCAAGUCGAACGGAAGGGCCCUGCUUGCAGGGUACUCGAGUGGCGAACGGGUGAGUAACACGUGGGUGAUCUGCCCUGCACUUCGGGAUAAGCCUGGGAAACUGGGUCUAAUACCGGAUAGGAGCCAUUUUUAGUGUGAUGGUUGGAAAGUUUUUUCGGUGUAGGAUGAGCUCGCGGCCUAUCAGCUUGUUGGUGGGGUAAUGGCCUACCAAGGCGGCGACGGGUAGCCGGCCUGAGAGGGUGGACGGCCACAUUGGGACUGAGAUACGGCCCAGACUCCUACGGGAGGCAGCAGUGGGGAAUAUUGCACAAUGGGCGCAAGCCUGAUGCAGCGACGCCGCGUGGGGGAUGACGGCCUUCGGGUUGUAAACUCCGUUCGCUAGGGACGAAGCUUUUUGUGACGGUACCUAGAUAAGAAGCACCGGCUAACUACGUG